This 700-nucleotide ribosomal RNA is filed under the name uncultured bacterium. Its description in RNAcentral is "bacterial SSU rRNA". It matches the Rfam family "Bacterial small subunit ribosomal RNA", at positions 94 to 793 of the family's 1533-position model. The record is from RNAcentral.
AGCGGCGGACGGGUGAGUAACGCGUGAGAAUCUGCCUUUCAGUGAAGAAUACCCUUGGGAAACUAAGGUUAAUGCUGCAUACGCCCCUUCGGGGGGAAAAAUGGCCUCUUGCUAUUGCUGAAAGAUGAGCUCGCGUACUAUUAGUUAGUUGGUGGGGUAAUGGCCUACCAAGACGAUGAUGGUUAGCCGGCCUGAGAGGGUGAACGGCCACACUGGAACUUAGAUACGGUCCAGACUCCUACGGGAGGCAGCAGUGGGGAAUAUUGCGCAAUGGGCGAAAGCCUGACGCAGCAACGCCGCGUGAAGGAUGAAGGCUUUAGGGUCGUAAACUUCUGUUAAGUGGGAAGAAAUGCUUAUUCUUAAUACGGAUAAGAGAUGACGGUACCAUUAGAGAAAGCACCGGCUAACUUCGUGCCAGCAGCCGCGGUAAUACGAGGGGUGCAAGCGUUAUUCGGAAUAAUUUGGCGUAAAGGGUACGUAGGCGGUAUAUUAAGUCAGUUGUUAAAUUCUCUAGCCUAACUGGAGGUCAGCAGCAGAUACUGGUGUACUUGAGAAUGGAAGAGAGAAGUGGAAUUCUCGGAGUAGCGGUAAUAUGCGUGGAUCUCGAGAGGAACACCAAUGGCGAAGGCAGCUUCUUGGUCCAUUUCUGACGCUGAGGUACGAAAGCGUGGGUAGCAAACAGGAUUAGAUACCCUGGUAG